Molecule: ribosomal RNA, 2758 nt
Filed under: hot springs metagenome
Description: bacterial LSU rRNA
Rfam family: Bacterial large subunit ribosomal RNA
Source: RNAcentral
UAUUAUAUUGGUUUGACUGAUAACAUAAAGAAAAGACUUAGCGAGCACAGGCAUAAGAUGUCUCGCUAUACAAAGGGCAGAUUACCAAUAAGGUUAGUUUGGAUGGGUACUUUUAGAAACAAAAAAUUAGCAGUAAAAUUUGAGAAAUAUCUAAAAUCAGGUUCAGGUAAUGCUUUCAUGAAAAAAAGAUUAGUUUGAAACUUGUGUUCCGUAGCUUUAGCGGAGGAACAUUCCCUUAGUAGCGGCGAGCGAAAAGGGAGGAGCCUAAAUCUCUCCACCACUUUAUAAAGUGGCGGGGGGAGGUUGUAAGGAAAUAUCGUCUGGAGUCUUUCUUCUUAAGAGAAAGUCUCUGGAGGGAGAGCACUUAGAUAAAGUGAUUAGUUGAAAUGCCCUGGAAAGGGAUACCAAAGAUGGUAAUAGUCCAGUAGACGAAAAUCACUUUAUGCUCCUUGAUAUUUUUCUUAAGUACCAUGGGAAAAGAUAAUCCUGUGGGAAGCAGGCGGAACUAAAUCGCCAAGGCUAAAUACUCAACCUCACCGAUAGUGCACUAGUACCGUGAGGGAAAGGUGAAAAGUAGGGAGGUGAUCCCGGUGAAAUAGAACCUGAAACCAUCACGCUUACAAAGAGUCGGAGCCCCCCACCACUUUUCGUAAUUUAACAUUUUUAAUGUUAGGAGGUUGUGGAAAGUGGUGGGGGGUGACGGCGUACUUUUUGGAGAACGAACCAACGAGUUCCCCUCCUAACUUUGUCUAAGCACUUCUGGUGCGGAGGCAAAGUGAAAGCAAGCGUUAACAGCGCGUUUCUCUAAAUUUUUAGAGAAUAAAAAGUUAGGAGGGAAGACCCGAAGCCAAGCGAGCUUGCCAUGGCCAGGGUGAACCCUGGAGAAAUCCGGGGGGAGGCCCGAACCCGUGGACCGUGCAAUAUCCUGGGAUGAGCUGUGGUAAGAAGCGAAAAACUAAACGAGCUUGGUAAUAGCUGGUUCUCCCCGAAAUAGCUUUGGGGCUAGCGCCGAGAGUUUGGAAUUGGAGGUAGAGCACUGAAUGGAAUUUCUUGCCGAAAGGCGGAGAUUCCAACCAAACUCCGAAUGCCAAUUUUUUAAUCUCGGUAGUCAGACCUUGGGGGCUAAGCUCCGAGGUCAAAAGGGAAAAAGCCCUUGAUCUUCAUCUAAGGUCCCAAAAUUUGAGCUAAUUGAGAAAGGAAGUGCCUCCUCCUUGACAGGUAGGAGGUUAGCUUAGAGGUAGCUAUCCUUUAAAGAGUGUGUAAUAACUCACUACUCUAGUCUUCUUUUAGGAGACAAGGAGGGGGUGCGCCGAAGAUUUCCGGGACUAAGCUCAAUACCGAAGAUAAGAUUCCCUACUACUUUAGGUAGUGGGGGAGGUAGGGGAGCGUUCUUAAGGCAGUGAAGUCUAUGACGUAAGUCAGGAUGGAGCCUUGAGAAGUGAGAAUGUUGGUAUGAGUAACCGCAAGGGCAGUGAAAUUCUGCCCGACCGAAAGCCUAAGGUUUCCUUGGCAAUGGCAAUCAACCAAGGGUUAGGCGGCCCUAAGGCAAAGCCGAAAGGUCUAGCUGAUGGACAGCCGGUCAAUAUUCCGGCCCUCCCUCACCAAUUUUUAAAAGGGGACGCAGUCGAAAUCUCUGGGAAAAUUAUUGGAUUUUGAGGUUGGAGUAAUCCGACCGCCUCAGAGACUAGAUUGCCUAGAAAAGCCUUUUAAAAGUUAAAUUGGUGGGGGAUCCGUACCGCAAACCGACACAGGUAGGCUGGUGUAAGAACACCAAGGUUAACGGGUGAAACCUCGUUAAGGAACUCGGCAAAAAAGCAGGCGUAAGUUCGCGAUAUGCCUUGCCCCGGUCCGAAAGGGCUUAGGGGUCGCAGCGAAAGUACCCCUGGCGACUGUUUAACUAAAACACAGGUCCCUGCUUAAUUGGUAACAAGAUGUAUAGGGACUGAGGCCUGACCAGUACUCGUGUGUUAAGGUUGCUGGUUUCUGCCUCAAGGUGGAAGCUAAGCGACUUAAGCCACGGGCAAACGUCCGCGGUAACUCUGACCGUGUUAAAGUAGCGUAACCCCUUGUCAGGUAAGUUCUGACCCGCAUGAAAGGCUUAACGACUAGGGGACUGUCUCAACGAGGCGCCCGGUGAAAAUGCAACAAGCGUGAAGACGCGCUUUACCUGGGGCUAGACGGAAAGACCCCGAGAGCUUUACUGGAGGGUGGUAUUGAAUUUUGGGUUUUGAUGCGUAGCGUAGUGGGGAGGCUGUGAAGGGCCGAUUUCGGUUGGUCUGGAGCCGUCAAUGAAACACCCAUCUUUGAAACUCUUUGUUCUAAGCUGAAAGGUGACAGUGCCACUCGGCCAGUUUAAGUGGGGCACUUGCCUCCUAAAAGGUAAUGGAGGCGUUUAAAGGUCGGCUAGCUCCGGAUGGAAAUCGGAGUGGUCGGGCAAAGCCAUAAGCCGGCUUGACUGCAACAAGGAUAUUUGGCGCAGAGAGGAAACUCGAACUUAGUGAACCGACGGAUUUUAAUAGAAAAUCCGAAGAUCAUCAGCCAAAAGUUACCUCGGGGAUAACAGGCUAGUAGGGCCCGCGAGUCCACAUCAACGGCCCUGUUCGGCACCUCAAAGAAUUGCCGACAAUAUCGGGGUGCUAUGGCAGUAAUGCCAUAUGAAAAAUUGGCUUAUAACGGUGAAAUCCAUUUAAAUUUGUGCUAAGAUUUAAUAAUGGACAACACCGUGGGAAGUCUUACCCAAGAGCAAAAGUCAAUUAUU